Molecule: ribosomal RNA, 190 nt
Filed under: uncultured bacterium
Lineage: Bacteria
Description: partial 16S ribosomal RNA
Rfam family: Bacterial small subunit ribosomal RNA
Source: RNAcentral
CUCGCCUACAUGAAGUCGGAAUUGCUAGUAAUCGCGGAUCAGCAUGCCGCGGUGAAUACGUUCCCGGGCCUUGUACACACCGCCCGUCACACCAUGGGAGUCGGUAACACCCGAAGCCUGUAGUCUAACCGCAAGGAGGACGCAGUCGAAGGUGGGAUUGAUGACUGGGGUGAAGUCGUAACAAGGUAGC